UGGGGAAUCUUGGACAAUGGGGGCAACCCUGAUCCAGCGACGCCGCGUGGGUGGUAAGGCCUUCGGGUUGUAAAGCCCUUUCACCGGGGAAGAUGAUGACAUUACCCGGAGAAGAAGCCCCGGCUAACUCCGUGCCAGCAGCCGCGGUAAGACGGAGGGGGCAAGCGUUGUCCGGACUCACUGGGCGUAAAGGGCGCGCAGGCGGGACGGCGCGUCGGCGCUGAAAGCGCCCGGCUUAACCGGGCGCGGCGCGGCGAUACGACCGACCUGGAGGCAGGCAGAGGGUGGCGGAAUUCCGGGUGUAGUGGUGAAAUGCGUAGAGAUCCGGAGGAACGCCUGUGGCGCAAGCGGCCGCCUGGGCCUGACCUGACGCUGAGGCGCGAAAGCGUGGGGAGCGAACCGGAUUAGAUACCCGCGUAGUCC
Molecule: ribosomal RNA, 423 nt
Filed under: uncultured prokaryote
Description: bacterial SSU rRNA
Rfam family: Bacterial small subunit ribosomal RNA
Source: RNAcentral